AUUGAACGCUGGCGGCAUGCCUUACACAUGCAAGUCGAACGGUAACAGGUCUUCGGAUGCUGACGAGUGGCGAACGGGUGAGUAAUACAUCGGAACGUGCCUAGUAGUGGGGGAUAACUACUCGAAAGAGUGGCUAAUACCGCAUGAGAUCUACGGAUGAAAGCAGGGGAUCGCAAGACCUUGUGCUACUAGAGCGGCCGAUGGCAGAUUAGGUAGUUGGUGGGAUAAAAGCUUACCAAGCCGACGAUCUGUAGCUGGUCUGAGAGGACGAUCAGCUACACUGGGACUGAGAAACGACCCAGAUGCCUACGGGAGGCAGCAGUGGGGAAUUUUGGACAAUGGGCGCAAGCCUGAUCCAGCAAUGCCACGUGCAGGAUGAAGGACUUCGGGUUGUAAACUGCUUUUGUACGGAACGAAAAGCCCUGGGUUAAUACCCUGGGGUCAUGACGGUACCGUAAGAAUAAACACCGGCUAACUACGUGCCAGCCGCCGCGGUAA
RNAcentral lists this ribosomal RNA (498 nucleotides) under uncultured bacterium. RNAcentral's name for it is "partial 16S ribosomal RNA". It matches the Rfam family "Bacterial small subunit ribosomal RNA", at positions 30 to 523 of the family's 1533-position model. The record is from RNAcentral.